Molecule: ribosomal RNA, 1408 nt
Filed under: metagenome
Description: bacterial LSU rRNA
Rfam family: Bacterial large subunit ribosomal RNA
Source: RNAcentral
ACGUAGGCAAAUCCGCCGGGCUGAGAUGAGGCGUGAUGACGAGGCUCUUCGGAGCCGAAGCGAGUGAUACCCAGCUUCCAGGAAAAGCCUCUAAGCUUCAGUCUAAGAGUGACCGUACCGCAAACCGACACAGGUGGGCUGGUAGAGAAUACCAAGGCGCUUGAGAGAACUCAGGAGAAGGAACUCGGCAAAUUGAUACCGUAACUUCGGAGAAGGUAUGCCCCUGGUACGUGAAGGCCCUCGCGGCCGGAGCGGAACGGGGUCGCAGAGAAUCGGUGGCUGCGACUGUUUAUUAAAAACACAGCACUCUGCAAACACGAAAGUGGACGUAUAGGGUGUGACGCCUGCCCGGUGCCGGAAGGUUAAGUGAUGGGGUGCAAGCUCUUGAUCGAAGCCCCGGUAAACGGCGGCCGUAACUAUAACGGUCCUAAGGUAGCGAAAUUCCUUGUCGGGUAAGUUCCGACCUGCACGAAUGGCGUAACGAUGGCCACACUGUCUCCUCCUGAGACUCAGCGAAGUUGAAAUGUUUGUGAAGAUGCAAUCUCCCCGCGGCUAGACGGAAAGACCCCAUGAACCUUUACUGUAGCUUUGCAUUGGACUUUGACGGGACUUGUGUAGGAUAGGUGGGAGGCUAUGAAACCGGGACGCCAGUUCCGGCGGAGCCAUCCUUGAAAUACCACCCUGGUGUCGUCGAGGUUCUAACCCAGGCCUGUGAAUCCAGGUCGGGGACCGUGCAUGGUGGGCAGUUUGACUGGGGCGGUCUCCUCCCAAAAGGUAACGGAGGAGUACGAAGGUCACCUAGGUACGGUCGGACAUCGUACUGAUAGUGCAAUGGCAAAAGGUGGCUUGACUGCGAGACCCACACGUCGAGCAGGUGCGAAAGCAGGUCAUAGUGAUCCGGUGGUUCUGUAUGGAAGGGCCAUCGCUCGACGGAUAAAAGGUACUCUGGGGAUAACAGGCUGAUUCCGCCCAAGAGUUCACAUCGACGGCGGAGUUUGGCACCUCGAUGUCGGCUCAUCACAUCCUGGGGCUGUAGCCGGUCCCAAGGGUAUGGCUGUUCGCCAUUUAAAGUGGUACGUGAGCUGGGUUUAAAACGUCGUGAGACAGUUUGGUCCCUAUCUGCCGUGGGCGCUGGAAGUUUGAGAGGGCCUGCUCCUAGUACGAGAGGACCGGAGUGGACGCACCCCUGGUGUACCGGUUGUGACGCCAGUCGCAUCGCCGGGUAGCUAUGUGCGGAAGAGAUAACCGCUGAAAGCAUCUAAGCGGGAAACUCGCCUCAAGAUGAGACUUCCCCGGGGCCUCGAGCCCCCUGAAGGGUUGUUGAAGACCACAACGUUGAUAGGCCGGGUGUGUAAGCGUGGCAACACGUUCAGCUAACCGGUACUAAUUGCCCGUGUGGCUUGAUCCU